This 685-nucleotide ribosomal RNA is filed under the name Microsporidium sp. BSEI3. Its description in RNAcentral is "SSU rRNA". It matches the Rfam family "Microsporidia small subunit ribosomal RNA", at positions 46 to 788 of the family's 1311-position model. The record is from RNAcentral. Lineage: Eukaryota; Fungi; Microsporidia.
AGCCAUGCAUGUUUAUGAGAGUUAUAUACUUGAAUGACGGACGGCUCAGUAAUACUUGUAUUAUCUAAAGUGUCGUUUUGAUAAACCACGGUAAUCUGUGGGUUAUUGAUACUGUGAGUACAAGACCUAUCAGUUUUUUUGUACGGUAAUGGCGUACGAUGACUAUGACGGGUGACGGAUGAUGAGAGUUAUAUUCCGGAGAGGGAGCCUGAGAGAUGGCUACUACGUCUAAGGAUGGCAGCAGGCGCGAAACUUGUCCAAUGUGAUAGUGAGACAGUUAUUUAGAUUGAAGGGGAAGUAAUUGUAAAAAGAUUACGUAUUGUACUGGAGGGCAAGUCGGGUGCCAGCAGCCGCGGUAAUACCUGUUCCAGUAGUGUGUGUGGACGAUGUUGCGGUUAAAAUGUCUGUGGCGUUUUUUUAUUAGGAGCUGAAGGAGGACAGAGUAUGGUUAGGAGAGAGGUGAAAUGUCAUGACCCUGAUUGGACUGUUUGAGGCGAAGGCGCUGUUCUUGUAAGUAUCUGAUUGUGAAAGACGAAGGCUGGAGGAUCGAAAUUGAUUAGAUACCUUUUUAGUUCUAGCAGUAAACUAUGGUGACUAUGGUGCAUGGUAUGUGUGGUAUAAAUGAAAGUGUAAGUUUUCGACCUGUGGGGAUAGUAUGCUGGCAAGAGUGAAAGUUAAAGAAAUU